UCCACAGUAGUGAAUCAGAUGAUUGGUGUUUUUGCUAUCCAAACUGCAUCAUCAUCAUGGUUAACCUGAUGAUCAAGACCCAGAUACGGCCUCUAGAUAAACUGUAUAAGAAUUUGACAUGAUUAGAGGAUAUGUAAUUGGAUAAAUUUUUAAAAUCAAAUGUAGAGUUGUUUAGUAGUGAUAAAUCGUCUGGUCCAACAUGGUCUAAAAGAUUGUGAUAGACUAC
RNAcentral lists this long non-coding RNA (226 nucleotides) under Lathyrus oleraceus (garden pea). RNAcentral describes it as "Pisum sativum (pea) long non-coding RNA (PSAT_LNC035135)". Lineage: Eukaryota; Viridiplantae; Streptophyta; Magnoliopsida; Fabales; Fabaceae. The record is from RNAcentral.